Molecule: ribosomal RNA, 497 nt
Filed under: uncultured bacterium
Lineage: Bacteria
Description: partial 16S ribosomal RNA
Rfam family: Bacterial small subunit ribosomal RNA
Source: RNAcentral
GAUGAACGCUGGCGGCGUGCCUAAUACAUGCAAGUCGAGCGGACGGACGAGACGCUUGCUUCUCUGAUGUUAGCGGAGGGCGGGUGAGUAACACGUGGAUAACCUACCUAUCUGUCUGGGAUAACUUCGGGACACCGGCGCUAAUACCGGAUAAUAUUUUGCACCGCAUGGUUCAAAAGUGAAAGACGGUCUUGCUGUCUCUUAUCGAUGGAUCCGAGCUGCAUUAGCUAGUUGGUAAGGUACAGGCUUACCAAGGCAACUAGGCAUAUCCGACCUGCGAGGGUGAUCGGCCACACUGGAGCUGAGACACGGUCCAUACUCCUACGGUAGGCAGCAGUAUGCAAUCUGCCGCAGUAGUGGAAAGCCUGGCGCAGCAACGCCACGUGUGUGAUAAAGGCCUCCGGAUCGUAAAACCCUGUUAUGGGUUAUGAACAGAUUUCGAAUGAGCUGAGCACAGCGUGACGGUACCGAAUCAGAAAGCCCCGGCUAACUACGUG